AGGGCUGAGGCCGAGCACCUGGACUUCUGGACCUCUCAGAAGCUCAGGUUCCUUUCAUCCAGAGUCUAGCCUGGAGAAAAAACUGAGUAUCUCUGAAAGAGGCAGGAGGGAGAAGCAAGUUGAGCAGGGAACCUUCUGGUGUGAGGGAUACUCUCUUUCCCCUCCCACCUCACGAAGACUGCAGCCUGACCUAGAAACUUCCUGAAGAUUUUUAACCUCCAGAGCCAGUGGAACUGAGCCUCCUCCAUGGCCUUGCUGCAGUCUGUUUCCUUUGAUUUUUCUAAAGAAGAAAAGAAGAAAGAAAUUGGAUAACUGCUGGACUUUUCUACUGAGAGAUGGGAAAGUGCUUUCUAAAACAGAAAAUUUUUCCCUAGGAAAAAAGAAAGUAAACAAAGCAAUUUGAACAAUAUUAUUCUCUGGGUUGGAAACUGGGUGCCCCUGUUUACUGAAGUUCUCUGAGGCCAAAAAAAAAAAGAUUAUUUUAAUGCAGGCUUUUAAAAAUGUGCUGGAAAAAUAAAGGUUCAAG
Long non-coding RNA from Balaenoptera ricei (Rice's whale), 526 nucleotides. RefSeq lists it as uncharacterized. NCBI's taxonomy places the organism in Eukaryota, Metazoa, Chordata, Mammalia, Artiodactyla, Balaenopteridae. The record is from RefSeq and is a predicted model, not a curated record. The transcript has 3 exons.